GCAGCCGUGGACGAAUGUCGUGGCCGCGCCUGCUCAGUGUCAGCCUCCCAUCCAUGUUGUGUUCCAAGCAGCCGAAGAACUCGUACAGUUCAUUUUUAUUACAGGAGGUGAUUUGAAUUAAAACAAAAAUUCUGUGGUGUCUGCGGUCUGCCUAAAUCAAAUUUCCAUCUCUACAUUAAUGAAUAGAGUAUGAGCCAUCCAUGGGACAAAACAACGUGG
Molecule: long non-coding RNA, 219 nt
Organism: Hordeum vulgare subsp. vulgare (domesticated barley)
Lineage: Eukaryota; Viridiplantae; Streptophyta; Magnoliopsida; Poales; Poaceae
Exons: 3
Source: RefSeq, a predicted model, not a curated record